CCGCCUGUAAUCCUCCACCUUCAACACCACCAGUCAGGUGGAGGAAGAUAAGAGAACCCAGUUGACAUAAAAAAGUAAGAACAUUUCUAUCUACGCAACAUAACUAAUCAUUUCAAAUAUAGCUGCAGAGAGCUGAGCUGAAAGUUAGAAGCUGUCUGCUGUUCAUGCAUAUUUUCCUCCUUAACUUUAUCUUCUCUCUUUAUUUCAUUUCUCUGUGAACUCAUGUGAUGACUGGAGUUGACCAACAAUUAAAGCAGAAGACCUGCUCCACCUGCUGUUCUACUGGUUGGAAGAGAUUGUGGGAAAGCAUCACUGGACCAAUCAGGCGAGAGAAGACAGAGAGGACUGAGGACUAAAACGAAAAUACUCUGCCUGCCAAAAAAGGCAGACGAUCCAGUGGCCCCAGGUUUACACACCAUCUGCUGGAGAGAAGGAGCAGAAGAAGAAGGAAUGAAUGACUGUUACAUGACAAGUGAAUCUAACACUUACUGCAGCUCCUCUUUUUGAGGCAGACUCAGAUGGAGAAGUGGCAUAAAAAGCAACAGUGGAAACGGGUCAAACCGACAGAUGAGGAGCCGAUCACUUUCAAACUCACACUCACCCCCAUCCGCCUCACCCCCUCCUCCCAUCUGACAGACGCCAAACACUGAGCCUCCCUCAUCGCUAGAGAACCUCCUCGCCUCCAUCACUGUCAGGGACACAAACAUCCUGAAGUGACUGGCUGAGGUGGAUGCAGACACUCUGAGGAUUCCUAAAUUAGAGCCCCGACAAUUGAAAGAUUCAAAGCGUUUGUGUCUCCCAGGUACUCAGAGCAGGUGGAGUGUGUCGUUUUCCAGAAGAGUGAUCUGUGUGUGUGUGUGUGUGUGUGUGUGUGUGUGCAGGAACUACAGUGACUCUGCCCUGCCGUUACGACUACACCCCUCAGGUCACACUGUGAGGCGCGUUAUGCGGUCACCACACCGACCCCAACCAGAUCAGCCCUUCCAGCCGCGCUACACCGGGGGAAGCGAUUCGAGCCGUUCGGCUCAGAUUCGGGGUGUGAAGCUGGGCGAUGCGGGCCAGCGUCACUUCAGGUUUGAGACAGACCGACCGCUGGGGAGAUGGACCUCACCUGACACCAUUACUCUGGAUGUAGCAGCUCGACUCUCCUGCCAAUUAAAACAUCAAUGACUGGACAGUGGACAGCGAGGUUUCUGGUGCCUGGCUGGAGACGAGAUUCUGAUUAUUCAAGAGCCAAAACAAAACGUCAGAAUAAAUAGUUAGAAGGCAGAUUUGUUUUCUAUUUGUUGUUGUUUUCAUCAUUAAUGCUCCACAACACAAAAUUCAUCAGUGCUGUAACUCUUGAGUUGAAUAAAAUGUUCUUCUUUCAAUCUGUUA
Molecule: long non-coding RNA, 1377 nt
Organism: Xiphophorus couchianus (Monterrey platyfish)
Lineage: Eukaryota; Metazoa; Chordata; Actinopteri; Cyprinodontiformes; Poeciliidae
Exons: 8
Source: RefSeq, a predicted model, not a curated record